GGCCGCUUCCUGGCCCGGCCAAUGGGGGAGCGCGUUGCUGCCCGGUGCCGGCGACGUCGCGCUCUGAGGGGAGCUCGGCGGCCUCGGCCCGGCAUGGGCAGCCCGCGCUCCUCUCCCGCGCCUCUCCGCUGAGCACCCGCGCCCGGCCAUGGCCGGCCCCUCCCGAGACCUGGGCACCGACGUCUUCGACGAGGCCGUGCGGAACACCUGCGACGUCGCCUCCCAUUGCAAGCGAUAUGCUGUAAGUGUUGGUUACUGGAAAGACCCUUACAUUGAAUAUUUUGUAAGCCAUCCAAAAGAAAGGAAGGCACCUGAAAUCAGCCGUGGGUAUUAUGCACGGGUCCAGGGAGUUGGUCGUUUACUUAAGGCUUUCUUAGAAAAGACAAAAUGCAAUUGCCAAAUUAUAAAUCUUGGUGCUGGCAUGGAUACUCUGUUUUGGAAAUUAAAGGAUGAGAAUCUUCUUCCUUUGAAAUACUUUGAAGUUGAUUUUCCAUCUAUAGUCUCAAGAAAAAUUCAUUACAUCAAAUCAAAACCUCCUCUCUCCAAACCGAUCAUGGAAAGCCAUUCAGGGGAGACUCUUCUCAUCGAUGCCCACUGUCUGGAUACCAGCCGAUAUGCCAUUGUUGGAGGUGAUCUUCGAGACUUGCCCAGACUAGAAGAAGAACUGAAGAAAUGCCACAUGGAUCCAGAUUUGCCAACGCUCCUGAUGACAGAAUGUGUGCUGAUCUACUUGACCAUUGAGCAUUCAGCUUGCCUCAUCAAGUGGGUGGCAACCACGUUUCAGUCUGCCAUGUUUAUCAACUAUGAGCAGGUGAAUAUGGCGGACCGCUUUGGACAGAUCAUGAUUGAGAACUUGCAGAGCAAGCAGUGCCAGCUGGUUGGUGCAGAUGCUUGCAGAUCUCUGGAGUCCCAGAAGGAACGAUUCCUGCAACAUGGCUGGGAAACAGUAAAUGGUCUUGAUAUGCUGAAGGUCUAUCAGAGUUUGCCAUCAGAUGAGAUCAAAAGGAAUGUGCAGAACUCACUGAUAACUUCAGGAAACUGCCCCCGGAACGACAAGGUCUGGAGGGGGAAUGGAACAUUCCAGGGUUCAACGGAACGUUCUGUUCCUGAAUUGGAUAGAGGCCCUUGAGUUCCUGGAUGAGAAGGAACCAUUUGAGCAGCUCAUGCAACAUUACAGCCUGUGCUGGGCUAUCAAGGAUUCCCAGAAUUUAGGCCUUGCAGACAUUACUCUGUGAUGCGUUUGCUCCAGUGGAGCUCCAGGUGAAUCUGCUGCCCCCUCCUGGUGGGCCUCUGCAUGCCUCCGCUGCCCCCCUGUUCCCACAAAGGCGCCCGCAGGUGAACAUGCGCCUUGGAGCCUGGCAAGCCCUCUCCUCUCCCCCACUCGUGGCACGUGACAACCUUUUGAAUAAAUUACUCUUUUUGUGAGCAGCUGAAAAACAAGCAAGUCUCUCUCUCUCUCUUUUGUAGAGAUUUUUCUAAAAAAAAAUAAUACUAUGAAUGGAAAGAGAUUCAGAUUUCUUCUAGAUGUACAAGUGAUGCUUUUUCCCUCUCCUUGACUUGCUGGCUGCCUCAGAACUGGGCUGAGGAUUUCAACUGGGGCAGGAAAGCCCCCCCCCCCCGUUGUCUGUCAGCCAUCCUUAGAGGCCCCCCUCCUCCCUGGGGUCUUGCGUUUUUCUUCCUUUCUGAAAUAAUGUUCCCGAUGCAUUUCUUCUGCCUUGGGUUUCUUGGUAUUUUCCAUAGGACUCCGCUUUCUUCUUCUUUUUCCUCAAAAGAGAGCUGGCUUCAGUCUGGGAAGCUCUCACGCUCAGCGAGGGGGAAAUCCUGCUGGCUCUGAGCUGCAGCUUGUGGUGGCUGUAUUGAGACACACUCCCGACCCUGAGAGGGUUAAUAAAGGGUGAAGUUUUGUAAA
RNA transcript from Crotalus tigris (Tiger rattlesnake), 1909 nucleotides. It is a transcript of the gene named leucine carboxyl methyltransferase 1, with no coding region annotated. NCBI's taxonomy places the organism in Eukaryota, Metazoa, Chordata, Lepidosauria, Squamata, Viperidae. The record is from RefSeq and is a predicted model, not a curated record. The transcript has 12 exons.